AGAGUUUGAUCCUGGCUCAGGAUGAACGCUAGCUACAGGCUUAACACAUGCAAGUCGAGGGGCAGCGCAGUGUAGCAAUACAUGGGCGGCGACCGGCGCACGGGUGCGUAACGCGUAUCCAACCUUCCCGUUACUCAGGGAUAGCCUUCCGAAAGGGAGAUUAAUACCUGAUGGUGUUGAAAUUCCGCAUGUUAUUUCAACUAAAGAUUUAUCGGUAACGGAUGGGGAUGCGUGACAUUAGAUAGUAGGCGGGGUAACGGCCCACCUAGUCUACGAUGUCUAGGGGUUCUGAGAGGAAGGUCCCCCACACUGGAACUGAGACACGGUCCAGACUCCUACGGGAGGCAGCAGUGAGGAAUAUUGGUCAAUGGUCGGAAGACUGAACCAGCCAAGUAGCGUGAAGGAUGAAGGUUCUAUGGAUUGUAAACUUCUUUUAUACGGGAAUAAAACCUCCCACGUGUGGGAGCUUGUAUGUACCGUAUGAAUAAGCAUCGGCUAACUCCGUGCCAGCAGCCGCGGUAAUACGGAGGAUGCGAGCGUUAUCCGGAUUUAUUGGGUUUAAAGGGAGCGUAGACGGGAGAUUAAGUCAGUUGUGAAAGGCUGCGGCUCAACCGCAGCACUGCAGUUGAUACUGGUUUCCUUGAGUUCGGUUGAGGUAUGUGGAAUUCGUGGUGUAGCGGUGAAAUGCUUAGAUAUCACGAAGAACUCCGAUUGCGAAGGCAGCAUACUAAGCCGAUACUGACGUUGAGGCUCGAAAGUGUGGGUAUCAAACAGGAUUAGAUACCCUGGUAGUCCACACGGUAAACGAUGAAUACUCGCUGUUGGCGAUAUACAGUCAGCGGCCAAGCGAAAGCAUUAAGUAUUCCACCUGGGGAGUACGCCGGCAACGGUGAAACUCAAAGGAAUUGACGGGGGCC
RNAcentral lists this ribosomal RNA (917 nucleotides) under uncultured Bacteroides sp. RNAcentral describes it as "bacterial SSU rRNA". It matches the Rfam family "Bacterial small subunit ribosomal RNA", at positions 8 to 921 of the family's 1533-position model. Lineage: Bacteria; Pseudomonadati; Bacteroidota; Bacteroidia; Bacteroidales; Bacteroidaceae. The record is from RNAcentral.